Molecule: ribosomal RNA, 2990 nt
Filed under: Nicotiana tabacum (common tobacco)
Lineage: Eukaryota; Viridiplantae; Streptophyta; Magnoliopsida; Solanales; Solanaceae
Description: eukaryotic LSU rRNA
Rfam family: Eukaryotic large subunit ribosomal RNA
Source: RNAcentral
AUCCUGAGCCAAGGGUCUAUUGAAAACGGCCUCUCAACCACGAUAAAGUAGGGGUAAGUCUGCGUACACACUACCUUCCUCAGAUCCCACUAUGCGGGAUUAUACUGAGUAUGUUAUUGUUAUUGUUGUUGUAUAUAACAUUUAUUAUAAAAUAAAAAAUACAUAAUAGAAUAAUAAAAAAUAAGAAAAAUAUUCUAAAUAGAGAAAAAAUAAUAGAGAAAAUUUCCAAUACAUCUAGUAAUAAUAUUACACAUAAAAAGAGUGAAUAUUUUUAUUUAAAAACGUAACAUAAAAACAAUUCAAAGUUACAAAAAAUGCAUAAAAAUUAAUUUAUAAAAUAUGUAAAAUACAUAAUGUUAUUAGUAAAACAUAAAGAUGAGGAACACCAAUAACCAUGACGCACCUCCAUCGACACAACCAACAUAAGUGAUUCCAACCGCCAACCAACAAGUAUCAACCAACCGUUGUCGGUCACUAUCGCACGACCACCGUAACUUUCCAACACCGCCACCGCCAACAACCACACACCAUUACUCUUGACAUGUUCUAAGCAUGGGGAUAGCACUAGACAUGGUGGGAUGUUGCACGACAUGGUAUGACAUGGUACGACAUGGUGCGACAUGGUGCAACACAAUGGAACCUGUGUGAGUUAGAUGGUGAACUAUGCUACAGCGAGGCGAAGUUAGAGGAAACUCUGGUGGAGUCCUGCAGCGAUACUAACAUGAAAAUCGUUCGUCUGACUUGGGUAAAGGGGCGAAAGACUAAUCGAAUCAUCUAGUAGCUAGUUUCCUUCAAGUUUCCCUCAGGAUAGCUGGAGCUCGCGUGUGAUUUCUAUCGGAUAAAGCCAAUGAUUAGAGUCAUCGGGCGCACAACGCACUCGGCCUAUUCUCAAACUUUAAAUAGGUAGGACGGUGCGCCUGCUUUGUUGAGCAGCACCACGAAAUCAAGCGCUCCAAGUGGGCCAUUUAUUGAUAAGCAGAACUGGUGAAGUGGGAAGAACCGGAGGUUGGGUUAUAGUGCCAAGAUGCACACUGACCUAAAUCACAGAAAGGGUGCUGGUCGAUUAAGACAGCAGGACGGUGGUCAUGGAAGUCGAAAUCCGCUAAGGAGUGUGUAACAGCUCGCCUGCUGAAUCAACUAGCCCUGAAAAUUGGUGGCUCUUAAGUGUACGACCUACACACGGUUGUCGGGGCAAGUGCUGGGUCCCAAUAAGUAGAAGGGUGUGGCGGCCGCGACAAAAUCUUGGGCGUGAGCCUAGGCAGAGCAACCGUCGGUAUAGAUCUUAGUGGUAGUAGCAAAUAUUGAAAUGAGAAUGUUGAAGGCCGAAGAGGGGAAAGGUUCUAUGUGAACGGCACUUGCAAAUUGGUUAGUCGAUCCUAAAGGUUGGGGGAACCCCGAUAGAUAGUGCAUUUUCGCGAAUACCGAAAGGGAAUCGGGUUAAAAUUCCUUAACAAAGAUGUGGAAGGUAGGGUCCCGGGCUUGAAAAGCAUUACACGUCGCAUGGUGUCGGUGCUCCCCCGGCAGCCGUCAAAAAAUUCAGAGGAUUGAGUCAUGCCCGUUUGUACUCGUAACUACAUCAGGUCUCCAAGGUGAACAACCUCUGGUCGAUGGAAUAAUGUAGGCGAGGAAAGUCGGCAAAAUGUAUCUGUAACUUCGGGAAAAGGAUUGGCUCCGAGGGCUGGGCAUGGGGGUCCCAAUCCCGGACUCCAUGAAUACUCGAUGGAGUGCUCGAGCUGCUCUUGCGGUGAGAGCAUGUUGCCACAUGCUGAAUGGACUGGGAAUGGUUCCUUCAGGGGCAUUCCUCGGGCGUCGAAUAGCUAACCCAAAACUGGUACAGACAAGGGGAAUUCGAUUAUUUAAUUAAAAUAAAGCAAUGCGAUAGUCCAUGCGGAUGUUUGCGCAAUGUGAUUUCUGCCGAGUACUCUUAAUGUCACAGUCAAGAAAUUCAACCAAGCGGGGGUAAAUGGGGGGACUAACUAUCACUCUCUUAAGGGAGCCGAAUGUCUCGUUAUCUAAUGAAUGAUGCGCAAGAAUGAAUUAACGAUUUUCCCACUAUCCUUAUCUACUAUCUAGCGAAACCACAACCAAGGGAACGGGCUUGGCAGAAUCAACAGAGAAAGAAGAUCCUAUUGUGCUUGACUCUAGUUCGACUUUAUGAAAUGACUUGAGAGGUGUAGUAUAAGUGGGAGUGCAAAGGUGAAAGUGGUAUACCACUCCUUUUAACAUUAUUUUACUUCUUCUGGAAUCAGAAGCGGGGCACUGCCCCUCUUUUUUGACCCAAGUCUUACUUUUAGGCCGAUUCGGGCAGAAGACAUUGUCAAGUAGGGAUUUUGGCUGGGGCUGCACAUUUGUUAAAAUAUAACGCAUGUGUCCUAAGAUGAGCUCAACGAGAAGAGAAAUCUUGUAUGGAACAGAAAGGUAAAAGCUCGUUUGAUUAUGAUUUCCAGUAUGAAUACGAACCAUGAAAGCAUGUCCUAACGAUCCUUUAGACCUUCACAAUUCGAAGCUAGAGGUGUCAGAAAAGUUACAACAUGGAUAACUGGCUUGUGGCAGCCAAGUGUUAAUAGCAACAUUGCUUUUUGAUCCUUCGAUGUUGGCUCUUCCGAUCAUUACAACAACAACAACUACCCAAUAAAAUCCCACAUAGUGGGGUAUGGGGAGGGUAAUGUGUACGCAGACCUUACCCCUGCCCCGGUAGGGCAGAGAGGCUGUUUUCGAUAGACCCUCGACUCAAUACGACUGAAAUAAAGGAAAACAAGAAAAGAAAAGAAAAGAAAAGAGAAUUCAUUAGUCCAGUAAAAAUUAUUAUAGUAACAGAAGCAUAAAAAAUAAAAAUAAAAACCAAAAGAUGAAUGACAUUCAAUAACGGUAACCAGAGUCUAAGGCAUCUAAGAUAAACAAUAAGAAUAGUGUGGCUCUUCCUAUCAUUGUGAAGCAGAAUUCACUAAGUGUUGGAUUGUUCACCCACCAAUAGUGAAGGUGAGCUGGGU